GGGUUGUGAGGUUAAGCGACUAAGCGUACACGGUGGAUGCCCUGGCAGUCAGAGGCGAUGAAGGACGUGCUAAUCUGCGAUAAGCGUCGGUAAGGUGAUAUGAACCGUUAUAACCGGCGAUUUCCGAAUGGGGAAACCCAGUGUGAUUCGUCACACUAUCGUUAAGUGAAUACAUAGCUUAACGAAGCGAACCGGGGGAACUGAAACAUCUAAGUACCCCGAGGAAAAGAAAUCAACCGAGAUUCCCCCAGUAGCGGCGAGCGAACGGGGAACAGCCCAGAACCUGAAUCAGUUUGUGUGUUAGUGGAAGCGUCUGGAAAGUCGCAGGGUACAGGGUGAUACUCCCGUACACUAAAAUGCACAGGCUGUGAGUUCGAAGAGUAGGGCGGGACACGUGGUAUCCUGUCUGAAUAUGGGGGGACCAUCCUCCAAGGCUAAAUACUCCUGACUGACCGAUAGUGAACCAGUACCGUGAGGGAAAGGCGAAAAGAACCCCGGCGAGGGGAGUGAAACAGAACCUGAAACCGUGUACGUACAAGCAGUGGGAGCCUCUUUUAUGGGGUGACUGCGUACCUUUUGUAUAAUGGGUCAGCGACUUAUAUUCUGUAGCAAGGUUAACCGUAUAGGGGAGCCGCAGGGAAACCGAGUCUUAACUGGGCGUUAAGUUGCAGGGUAUAGACCCGAAACCCGGUGAUCUAGCCAUGGGCAGGUUGAAGGUUGGGUAACACUAACUGGAGGA
Molecule: ribosomal RNA, 739 nt
Filed under: Bacillus sp. SRB_28
Lineage: Bacteria; Bacillati; Bacillota; Bacilli; Caryophanales; Bacillaceae
Description: bacterial LSU rRNA
Rfam family: Bacterial large subunit ribosomal RNA
Source: RNAcentral